RNAcentral lists this ribosomal RNA (301 nucleotides) under uncultured bacterium. Its description in RNAcentral is "partial 16S ribosomal RNA". It matches the Rfam family "Bacterial small subunit ribosomal RNA", at positions 509 to 807 of the family's 1533-position model. The record is from RNAcentral.
CAGUAGCCGCGGUAACACGGAGGGGGCUAGCGUUGUUCGGAAUUACUGGGCGUAAAGCGCACGUAGGCGGCUUGGUAAGUUAGAGGUGAAAGCCCGGAGCUCAACUCCGGAAUUGCCUUUAAGACUGCCGAGCUAGCAGGUGAGAGAGGUAAGUGGAAUUCCGAGUGUAGAGGUGAAAUUCGUAGAUAUUCGGAAGAACACCAGUGGCGAAGGCGGCUUACUGGCUCAUACUGGACGCUGAGGUGCGAAAGCGUGGGGAGCAAACAGGAUUAGAUACCCCAGUAGUCCCUGUCUCUUAUAC